UACGGAAGGCAGCAGUGGAGAAUAUUGCACAAAUGGGCGCAAGCCUGAUGCAGCCAUGCCGCGUGUAUGAAGAAGGCCUUCGGGUUGUAAAGUACUUUCAGCGGGGAGGAAGGCGAUGCGGUUAAUAACCGCGUCGAUUGACGUUACCCGCAGAAGAAGCACCGGCUAACUCCGUGCCAGCAGCCGCGGUAAUACGGAGGGUGCAAGCGUUAAUCGGAAUUACUGGGCGUAAAGCGCACGCAGGCGGUCUGUUAAGUCAGAUGUGAAAUCCCCGGGCUUAACCUGGGAACUGCAUUUUGAAACUGGCAGGCUUGAGUCUUGUAGAGGGGGUAGAAUUCCAGGUGUAGCGGUGAAAUGCGUAGAGAUCUGGAGGAAUACCGGUGGCGAAGGCGGCCCCUGGACAAAGCUGACGCUCAGGUGCGAAAGCGUGGGGAGCAAACAGGAUUAGAUAACCCGU
This 457-nucleotide ribosomal RNA is filed under the name uncultured bacterium. Its description in RNAcentral is "bacterial SSU rRNA". It matches the Rfam family "Bacterial small subunit ribosomal RNA", at positions 340 to 790 of the family's 1533-position model. The record is from RNAcentral.